Molecule: ribosomal RNA, 731 nt
Filed under: uncultured bacterium
Lineage: Bacteria
Description: bacterial SSU rRNA
Rfam family: Bacterial small subunit ribosomal RNA
Source: RNAcentral
AACAGGAUUAGAUACCCUGGUAGUCCACGCCGUAAACGAUGUCUACUAGCUGUUCGUGGUCUUGUACUGUGAGUAGCGCAGCUAACGCACUAAGUAGACCGCCUGGGGAGUACGGUCGCAAGAUUAAAACUCAAAUGAAUUGACGGGGGCCCGCACAAGCGGUGGAGCAUGUGGUUUAGUUCGACGCAACGCGAAGAACCUUACCUACUCUUGACAUCUACGGAAGACUGCAGAGAUGCGGUUGUGCCUUCGGGAACCGUAAGACAGGUGCUGCAUGGCUGUCGUCAGCUCGUGUUGUGAAAUGUUGGGUUAAGUCCCGCAACGAGCGCAACCCCUAUCCUUAGUUGCCAGCACGUAAUGGUGGGAACUCUAGGGAGACUGCCGGUGAUAAACCGGAGGAAGGUGGGGACGACGUCAAGUCAUCAUGGCCCUUACGAGUAGGGCUACACACGUGCUACAAUGGUACGUACAGAGGGAGGCAAGCUGGCGACAGUGAGCGGAUCUCUUAAAGCGUAUCGUAGUCCGGAUCGCAGUCUGCAACUCGACUGCGUGAAGUCGGAAUCGCUAGUAAUCGCAAAUCAGAAUGUUGCGGUGAAUACGUUCCCGGGCCUUGUACACACCGCCCGUCACACCAUGGGAGUGGGUUGCAAAAGAAGUAGGUAGCUUAACCUUCGGGAGGGCGCUUACCACUUUGUGAUUCAUGACUGGGGUGAAGUCGUAACAAGGUAACC